This 253-nucleotide unclassified non-coding RNA is filed under the name uncultured Salinisphaerales bacterium. RNAcentral's name for it is "contains 16S-23S intergenic spacer region". It matches the Rfam family "Bacterial small subunit ribosomal RNA", at positions 524 to 776 of the family's 1533-position model. Lineage: Bacteria; Pseudomonadati; Pseudomonadota; Gammaproteobacteria; Salinisphaerales. The record is from RNAcentral.
UACGGAGGGUGCAAGCGUUAAUCGGAAUUACUGGGCGUAAAGCGUGUGUAGGUGGUUGUGCAAGUCGGUUGUGAAAUCCCUGGGCUCAACCUGGGAACUGCUUCCGAGACUGCUCGACUAGAGAUCGGUAGAGGGCGGUGGAAUUUCCGGUGUAGCAGUGAAAUGCGUAGAUAUCGGAAGGAACACCAAUGGCGAAGGCAGCCGCCUGGGCCUGAUCUGACACUGAGACACGAAAGCGUGGGGAUCAAACAGG